Molecule: long non-coding RNA, 570 nt
Organism: Eufriesea mexicana
Lineage: Eukaryota; Metazoa; Arthropoda; Insecta; Hymenoptera; Apidae
Exons: 3
Source: RefSeq, a predicted model, not a curated record
CAUGUUUUACAAUCUUUUCUAAAAUUUUAAAAUUUGUUUAAUUAACACCUAAAAUAACUUUUCUCAUUUGAUUUUAACCCCAAAGAUGGAAUUAUAGAAAAUUAUUAUUUUUAUACAAAUUGAGGACCACAAUGCUUGACUUUAUUCUAUUACUAUAAUUGGUCCAAGGAAGACGUCAGGUAUGCAAACGGUAGAGGUUAGAAAUAAUACGUGUAUCAAUGCAGGUGGCAUUCGGAAAUACAACACAGCUUAAUAGUUCGAUGCUCUUAUUAGCUCGAAGUCCAAUUAAGGCCACAAUGAUACUCCAAGUAUUCUGCUAUGUACUUCCUACUGUCGUGUUGGAAUACCAAGCAUGACAGCUCGAUUAACGAAUACGCUACACCAUGAUGUUUAACCUAGUUCCAUCAUUUUAUCCUACUUCCACCUAAAAUUGGCAUAAUAUUACUCCAGCAAAAAAUAAUGCUGUCUAAGGAACUUUCACAUAGAUAAAGAUUAUAAAAAAAAAAUAUUACAACGGAAAUAACUACCUGUUGAGAAGGGGUAGCUUGCUGGUUAUCGUAUUUGGCAAGA